GAUGAAGAACGCAGUGAAAUGCGAUAAGUAAUGUGAAUUGCAGAAUUCAGUGAAUCAUCGAAUCUUUGAACGCACAUUGCGCCCCCUGGUAUUCCGGGGGGCAUGCCUGUCCGAGCGUCAUUACAACCCUCAAGCUCAGCUUGGUGUUGGGCCCCGCCGCCCCGGCGGGCCCUAAAGUCAGUGGCGGUGCCGUCCGGCUCCGAGCGUAGUAAUUCUUCUCGCUCUGGAGACCCGGUUGUGUGCUUGCCAACAACCCCCAAUUUUUUAAGGUUGACCUCGGAUCAGGUAGGGAUACCCGCUGAACUUAAGCAUAUCAAUAAGCGGAGGA
RNAcentral lists this unclassified non-coding RNA (328 nucleotides) under soil metagenome. RNAcentral's name for it is "partial contains 5.8S ribosomal RNA, internal transcribed spacer 2, and large subunit ribosomal RNA". The stretch from base 1 to 120 matches the Rfam family "5.8S ribosomal RNA", at positions 35 to 154 of the family's 154-position model. The record is from RNAcentral.